UACGUAGGGUGCGAGCGUUGUCCGGAAUUAUUGGGCGUAAAGAGCUCGUAGGCGGCUUGUCACGUCGGGUGUGAAAGCCCGGGGCUUAACCCCGGGUCUGCAUUCGAUACGGGCAGGCUAGAGUUCGGCAGGGGAGACUGGAAUUCCUGGUGUAGCGGUGAAAUGCGCAGAUAUCAGGAGGAACACCGGUGGCGAAGGCGGGUCUCUGGGCCGAUACUGACGCUGAGGAGCGAAAGCGUGGGGAGCGAACAGG
RNAcentral lists this ribosomal RNA (253 nucleotides) under uncultured bacterium. RNAcentral describes it as "partial 16S ribosomal RNA". It matches the Rfam family "Bacterial small subunit ribosomal RNA", at positions 524 to 776 of the family's 1533-position model. The record is from RNAcentral.